This is a long non-coding RNA of Macrobrachium nipponense, 369 nucleotides long. RefSeq lists it as uncharacterized. The transcript has 3 exons. The record is from RefSeq and is a predicted model, not a curated record. NCBI's taxonomy places the organism in Eukaryota, Metazoa, Arthropoda, Malacostraca, Decapoda, Palaemonidae.
GUUUUCCCUGCCCUGUAAUAGAUUGAAAAACUGUUGAACAUCUUUCGAAGUAAAUUACACGCGAGCCGUAGAGCUUCAGUUAUUGGAAUUUGCCGUUUUUAAUUGUGAGACGAUGAUGAUACAAAUGUGAAAACGAUUGUUUGUGUACAAAGCGUAUGUGGCACCUUGUCAUUGGAAGACACGUCCUUUCCGGUGAUUCGUAAAGUGCCACAAUAUUUCCUAUUUAUUAAGAUAUAUCGUAUUUAUUACGUUAACAGUUUCAGGAUGAUGCAAGAUGUGUUAGAAGCUAAUGACCCCAUCUCACAGCCAGGUCUCAUCCAGAGAUUAAGCACAAGCAUUAAAAGGGUCUUUGAAAUAGGAAUAAUCAUU